GUUGUUGCAACAGUAAUCCUGCUCAGUACGAGAGGAACCGCAGGUUCGGACAUUUGGUGUAUGUGCUUGGCUGAGGAGCCAAUGGUGCGAAGUUACCAUCCGUGGGAUUAUGACUGAACGCCUCUAAGUCAGAAUCCCGCCUAGACGCAGCGAU
Non-coding RNA from Takifugu rubripes (torafugu), 154 nucleotides. Lineage: Eukaryota; Metazoa; Chordata; Actinopteri; Tetraodontiformes; Tetraodontidae. The record is from Rfam.